GGUUCCAUGGUCUAGUGGUCAGGACAUUGGACUCUGAAUCCAAUAACCCGAGUUCAAAUCUCGGUGGAACCU
This 72-nucleotide transfer RNA is filed under the name Theobroma cacao (cacao). Its description in RNAcentral is "tRNA Tc03v2_g025140". It matches the Rfam family "tRNA". From Rfam's summary of the family: Transfer RNA (tRNA) molecules are approximately 80 nucleotides in length. Their secondary structure includes four short double-helical elements and three loops (D, anti-codon, and T loops). RNAcentral also lists the same sequence under 1 other name. The record is from RNAcentral. Lineage: Eukaryota; Viridiplantae; Streptophyta; Magnoliopsida; Malvales; Malvaceae.